UUGCUAAGCUCCGUAGAGACUGCAGUCGACGAACUCUGGUAUUGAUUGGUGCUUGCAUCAUGAUUUACAUUUGAGUGAGUGGCGAACUGGGGAGUAAACACGUUGGGAAACCUCCCCCAGAAGCGCGGGGAUAACACCUUGGAAACAGAUGCUUAACACCGCAAAAAAAACUUGGACCCGCAGGGUCCGAAUUUGAAAAGAGGGCUUCGGCUAUCACUUCUGGGAUGGUCCCCGCGGCGUAUUAAGCUAAAUGGUGAGGUAACGGCUCCGCCCAGAAAUGGCAAAUGAAAAGUACUCCGACCGGGAAACCAUAAUCUCGCCUCCCAUUGGGACAAUAGGACACAGGCCCAAAUUCCCUACCGGAGGCAGCAGUACGGAUAUCUUUGGCAAAAAAAGACGAACACGGUCGCGCUGGAUGGAAAGAUUCAACCCCACGUGAAUAAAGAAAGGUAUCGACUCGUAACAACUCUCUUGCCCCCUCUAAAGAAGAACUAUAUCACAAAAGGUAACUGUUCAGGUAUCUGACGGUAAAUUUUAACACUAUGAAACCCACUGGCUAACGUACGUGCCAGCAGUCUCGUCGGUAAUUAAGGAGGUGGCAAGCCCCCGUCCGGAUGCUAUUCCCCGUAAAGUCGAGCUUUGCAGGCGGUUUUUUAAGUCUGAUGUGAAAGCCGUAUCGGCUCAACCGAAGAAGUGCAUCGGAAACUGCGAUAACUCUCAGUACAGAAGAGGACAAUGGAACCGCCACACUGUACCGGUGCAAAUGCGUAUGAGAGAUGGAAGAACACCAGUGGAGAUAUUCGUGAGUGCUCCCUGGUCUGUAACUGAGCGACUCGAGGCUCGAAUAGUACGACGUAGCAAACAGGAUUAGAUACCCUGGUAGUCCAUACCGUAAACGAUCAACCCUGCUAACGCUGUCUCCAGGAAUUUCACUGCCUCUUCAGUGCUGCAGCUAACGCAUUAAGCAUUCCGCCUGGGGAGUACGGCCGCAAGGCUGAAACUCAAAGGAAUUGACGGGGGCCCGCACAAGCGGUGGAGCAUGUGGUUUAAUUCGAAGCUACGCGAAGAACCUUACCAGGUCUUGACAUACUAUGCAAAUCUAAGAGAUUAGACGUUCCCUUCGGGGACAUGGAUACAGGUGGUGCAUGGUUGUCGUCAGCUCGUGUCGUGAGAUGUUGGGUUAAGUCCCGCAACGAGCGCAACCCUUAUUAUCAGUUGCCAGCAUUAAGUUGGGCACUCUGGUGAGACUGCCGGUGACAAACCGGAGGAAGGUGGGGAUGACGUCAAAUCAUCAUGCCCCUUAUGACCUGGGCUACACACGUGCUACAAUGGAUGGUACAACGAGUUGCGAACUCGCGAGAGUAAGCUAAUCUCUUAAAGCCAUUCUCAGUUCGGAUUGUAGGCUGCAACUCGCCUACAUGAAGUCGGAAUCGCUAGUAAUCGCGGAUCAGCAUGCCGCGGUGAAUACGUUCCCGGGCCUUGUACACACCGCCCGUCACACCAUGAGAGUUUGUAAUAUUCAAAGUCGCUGGGGUAACCUAAGUGGAACCAACCUAACCAUAGAGAUACGCCC
This 1573-nucleotide ribosomal RNA is filed under the name Lactiplantibacillus plantarum. RNAcentral describes it as "bacterial SSU rRNA". It matches the Rfam family "Bacterial small subunit ribosomal RNA". The record is from RNAcentral. Lineage: Bacteria; Bacillati; Bacillota; Bacilli; Lactobacillales; Lactobacillaceae.